This is a non-coding RNA of Heterocephalus glaber (naked mole-rat), 183 nucleotides long. Lineage: Eukaryota; Metazoa; Chordata; Mammalia; Rodentia; Bathyergidae. The record is from RefSeq and is a predicted model, not a curated record.
CUCUCCCUUCAGAAUGAAAUGUCUCAUCUUGGCUGGCCUUCUGAGCGCUGUGUGUGCCCUGCCUAUCCCUCUUGACCAAUCUGGAGAAAGUUCCAGUGCACAGAGAUUUAACUUUUACCCACCACAAGUACCUGCAGUUUUUCCUCCAAUCCUACUUCCCCAGCCUCAACAACUGCCGCCCCU